RNAcentral lists this long non-coding RNA (321 nucleotides) under Felis catus (domestic cat). RNAcentral's name for it is "lncRNA (ENSFCAG00000049334.1)". Lineage: Eukaryota; Metazoa; Chordata; Mammalia; Carnivora; Felidae. The record is from RNAcentral.
CGUCGGUGUUGACAGCUCCAGCUUCCUGUUACCGAAUGUGAAUAAAGUUAGUCCUCAUUUAAAAAAAUGACUCCCGUCACCCCAUCCGUAGUAUGUCACCACCUGUGUCCCCUUGCACCUGUUCAGUCCUGGCUUGGGGAAUGACUUUCCAGAUGGCAUAGCACUCUCUGGGUGUGUCCUGACCAAAUGUGCACCACAAUGGUUCAACAAGUAAGGGGAAUGCCGUUAAUACGAACGCCGCAGUUUGCAAUAUAUCAAAGGGGAGGUGCAGAGCAAGGCUCCUCAGUGAGGGAUGCAGAGCCGGAACCCUGGUGGGUUGUG